UUUCCGUAGGUGAACCUGCGGAAGGAUCAUUAACACGAACAAAAUGUUCCAAAACCUUUUUGGAUCAACGCCAACCUUCGAAAAGGCGAACCUAGUUGUAUUUUUCUCCUUUUUCUAUUUCGUUUUUCUCAAACGCAACUUCUCAUGGAAAUUGACUAGAAUCGUGUGAUUUGUUCCAAUCCUAUCACCUCUUUCUCCUCUCCUCUCCUCGUGAGAUGAGAUGGGAUGUGAGAUGGGAGAUGGGGGGUGGGUUUGGAACUAACCAUUCCUAACGCUAAAACAACUCUUAACAACGGAUAUCUUGGCUCUC
Molecule: unclassified non-coding RNA, 310 nt
Filed under: plant metagenome
Description: partial contains small subunit ribosomal RNA, internal transcribed spacer 1, and 5.8S ribosomal RNA
Source: RNAcentral